UUGAACGCUGGCGGAAUGCUUUACACAUGCAAGUCGAGCGGCAGCGCGGGGCAACCUGGCGGCGAGCGGCGAACGGGUGAGUAACAUAUCGGAACGUACCCUAUCGUGGGGGAUAACACAUCGAAAGAUGUGCUAAUACCGCAUACGACCUGAGGGUGAAAGCGGGGGAUCGCAAGACCUCGCGCGACAGGAGCGGCCGAUAUCGGAUUAGCUAGUUGGUGGGGUAAAGGCUCACCAAGGCGACGAUCCGUAGCGGGUCUGAGGGGAUGAUCCGCCACACGGGGACUGAGACACGGCCCAGACUCCUACGGGAGGCAGCAGUGGGGAAUUUUGGACAAUGGGCGAAAGCCUGAUCCAGCCAUGCCGCGUGAGUGAAGAAGGCCUUCGGGUUGUAAAGCUCUUUCGGCGGGGAAGAAAUCGCAUUCUCUAAUACAGGAUGUGGAUGACGGUACCCGAAUAAGAAGCACCGGCUAACUACGU
RNAcentral lists this ribosomal RNA (480 nucleotides) under uncultured bacterium. Its description in RNAcentral is "bacterial SSU rRNA". It matches the Rfam family "Bacterial small subunit ribosomal RNA", at positions 29 to 506 of the family's 1533-position model. The record is from RNAcentral.